GAGAAAUCACAAGUCUUUGGGUUCCGGGGGGAGUAUGGUCGCAAGGCUGAAACUCAAAGAACAGGGCGGAAGGCCACCCCCAGGAAUGGUUUCCGCGGCUUAAUGUAACUCAACACGGGAAAAUUAACCCGGUCCAGACAUAGCGAGGACUGGCCGGAUGAGAAAUCUUUUUCGGUUCUCUCGGUCGCAGUGCAAAGCCGUUUUUAAGUGGCGGAAUGGCUCGUUUGGGUAAUUUCGAUAACGAACGAGAACCCAGCCUUCUAAAUAGGUUCCUUAGAGAAUUCAACGGGGUGAAUCUUCUGAGAGGGAGGCGCAUUCUAUUAGAUGCAGGAAGAUAGGGGCAAUACCAGGUCUGGGAUGCCUUUAGAUGUCGUGGGCCGCACGCGCGACACACUGACGCAUUCAAAGAGUUAUACCUUGGCCGAGAGGCCUGGGCAAUAUUUUGAACCUGCAUCGUGAUAGGGAUAGAUUAUUGCAAUUAUUAAUCUUGAACGAGGAAUUCCUAGUAAACGCAGAUCAUCAAUCUGCAUUGAUUACGUCCCUGCCCUUUGUACACACCGCCCGUCGCACCUACCGAUUGAAUGGUCCGGUGAAGCCUCGGGAUUGUGGCGAGUUCCCUUUAUUGGGAGUUUGUCGCGAGAACUGUCUAA
Molecule: ribosomal RNA, 650 nt
Filed under: Cylindrotheca sp.
Lineage: Eukaryota; Bacillariophyta; Bacillariophyceae; Bacillariales; Bacillariaceae
Description: SSU rRNA
Rfam family: Eukaryotic small subunit ribosomal RNA
Source: RNAcentral